This 305-nucleotide ribosomal RNA is filed under the name uncultured bacterium. RNAcentral's name for it is "bacterial SSU rRNA". It matches the Rfam family "Bacterial small subunit ribosomal RNA", at positions 335 to 658 of the family's 1533-position model. The record is from RNAcentral.
UGGCCUACGGGACGCAGCAGUGGGGAAUAUUGCACAAUGGGGGAAACCCUGAUGCAGCAAUGCCGCGUGGGUGAAGAAGCACUCCGGUGCGUAAAGCCCUGUCAGCAGGGAAGAAAAUGACAGUACCUGACCAAGAAGCCCCGGCUAACUACGUGCCAGCAGCCGCGGUAAUACGGAGGAUGCGAGCGUUAUCCGGAUUUAUUGGGUUUAAAGGGUGCGCAGGCGGUCUGUUAAGUCAGCGGUCAAAGCCCGGGGCUCAACCCCGGCCCGCCGUUGAAACUGGCAGUCUCGAGUUGGAGAGAAGG